Molecule: ribosomal RNA, 222 nt
Filed under: uncultured Actinomycetales bacterium
Lineage: Bacteria; Bacillati; Actinomycetota; Actinomycetes; Actinomycetales
Description: partial 16S ribosomal RNA
Rfam family: Bacterial small subunit ribosomal RNA
Source: RNAcentral
AGUAACACGGUGGGUGAUCUGCCUGCACUUCGGGAUAAGCUUGGGAAACUGGGUCUAAUACCGGAUAGGAACCAUCUUUAGUGUGGUGGUUGGAAAGUUUUUUCGGUGUAGGAUGAGCUCGCGGCCUAUCAGCUUGUUGGUGGGGUAAUGGCCUACCAAGGCGGCGACGGGUAGCCGGCCUGAGAGGGUGUACGGCCACAUUGGGACUGAGAUACGGCCCAG